AUACGUAGGGUGCGAGCGUUAAUCGGAAUUACUGGGCGUAAAGCGUGCGCAGGCGGUUGAUUAAGACAGGCGUGAAAUCCCCGGGCUUAACCUGGGAACUGCGCUUGUGACUGGAAGGCUAGAGUAUGGCAGAGGGGGGUGGAAUUCCACGUGUAGCAGUGAAAUGCGUAGAGAUGUGGAGGAACACCGAUGGCGAAGGCAGCCCCCUGGGCCAAUACUGACGCUCAUGCACGAAAGCGUGGGGAGC
RNAcentral lists this ribosomal RNA (247 nucleotides) under uncultured bacterium. Its description in RNAcentral is "partial 16S ribosomal RNA". It matches the Rfam family "Bacterial small subunit ribosomal RNA", at positions 523 to 769 of the family's 1533-position model. The record is from RNAcentral.